Molecule: long non-coding RNA, 485 nt
Organism: Austrofundulus limnaeus
Lineage: Eukaryota; Metazoa; Chordata; Actinopteri; Cyprinodontiformes; Rivulidae
Exons: 3
Source: RefSeq, a predicted model, not a curated record
GAUGUGUUGUCAGAUGUUCAGGUGGAUCAGUCGGGUCCAGGUGUCUCACUCUGUCCUCAGAUGUUCAGGUGGAUCAGUCGGGUCCAGGUGUCUCACUCUGUCCUCAGAUGUUCAGGUGGAUCAGUCGGGUCCAGGUGUCUCACUCUGUCCUCAGAUGUUCAGGUGGAUCAGUUGGGUCCAGGUGUCUCACUCUGUCCUCAGAUGUUCAGGUGGAUCAGUCGGGUCCAGGUGUCUCACUCUGUCCUCAGAUGUUCAGGUGGAUCAGUUGGGUUCAGGUGUCUCACUCUGUCCUCAGAUGUUCAGGUGGAUCAGUCGGGUCCAGGUGUCUCACUCUGUCCUCAGAUGUUCAGGUGGAUCAGUCGGGUCCAGGUGUCUCACUCUGUCCUCAGAUGUUCAGGUGGAUCAGUCGGGUCCAGGUGUCUCACUCUGUCCUCAGAUGUUCAGGUGGAUCAGUCGGGUCCAGGUGUCUCACUGUGUCCUCCUCU